UCUCUGGCAUGGUGCGCGGCUGUUCGGAGGGGCGGGCUGCUGGUCGCCUCCCCAGCAGGGAACACCGCCUCCCGUGCUGAACGCGCCAGCUGCCAGCUCGAGGGGAGUCCUGGGCUGCUGCCCCUGCCCCACGGUUGGGGCAUCUAGCUUCGAGAAGCAAACCUGCACGUGAUGGGGCUGCUUUGUGAAAUCCGCCCUACCGCGGAGAUUUAUAUACCACUUAACCUCCCCCCCCCUCUGCGCCGGGGCUCCGCAGCUGAGUCCCAGCCCGCUUUGGUGAGGGGCACAGGUGAAGAUCCCUUGCUGCAGAUCCCGGAGCAGCACAGGGAUCUGCCCUUUAGCGGCUAGUCUGGAUUAACCCCUGCAGUAAGUCUUGGGCUGCCUGCUCCUGGGACUACCUGGAGGAGGAGCAGCUGAUAGCAGAUGCAGGGAGCAGCAGCCCAGUGACUCACCCCAUAACUUCCCCUGAACGACAUCCGUGUUGUGCAGAGAUCAAAGUGAGGAAGAAGAAAUGGAUCGGAAUUGCAGCAAGCCCCAAGGUUGAGGAGAAAAGCAGGGAUCCUCAGACUGCAUCAACGGUGUGUGACAACCUUGGGACUGAGAAAUGGAGAAUUUCCUCAACACCUUCCCCUAGCAACAGGACUGACAUUUCUGGGAGGUUAUGGUCCAAGUCUUUAUCUUUUUUCCUUCUCUAAUUGAAACACAGCUGAUACUCCUUCAAUCUCUGGGUGAGAAGCACUGCCACUUCUAAGUAAGGAAAGCGAACAAAAAAAAAGAUUGCAUUUUAAAUCAAAAUGCUCUCCAUGACUGACUGCUUUGCAGCAUUAGGGUAAGUCCCUUUUUUCCACAACUUAAACAAAAAUAUGCCUAAGAAAUCUAUGCCAGAAAGGCAUUUUGUUAGUUUUGUUUCGUGAAAUAAACACAGUGUUAUUGGGAAGACAGCCUUCUCUCUUUUUUUUUUUUUUUUUUCCUCCAAAUAUGUGAAAUUGUGCAUUUGCAAACAGAGCUCCUAUCCAGAAAGCCAAUUUGUCUGUGAAGGUGACAAGCCUCCAAACUUGUAAUAAAUUAUCAGCAGCAGCAUUAGAAAAGAAAAUGUAAAACAAAAUCUGCUUUGAGAAUUGACUGAAUAUUUUAUUUAUCUUUUUCUUUUAUUGAAACAUCCUUUGAAAAAUGACAUAAAAUAAAUAGUUUUACAAAGCAACAAUAUAAUCAAUCUCUAAACUAGAAUAUAAAUCAAGGAUUUCAUUAACUGCUGGUAGCCAGUUUAAAUUGUAGUCUUGUCCAUAAUGUCUAUCUAUCUAUGUAUGUCCAAGUUAUAUUAAAAACCUUUAAAUGGCUUUGUAAUAUCAGCUACAUCUAGCUAUUAUAAUAAUUAAUGAUACUGUUUUAUAAAUCAAUAUAUGUAUUCUUGAUAAAUUCAUAUCCAGUUAAUGGUGUAAUUUAAAUAAAAAAUUAAUGUAAUAAAGGACAUACUGGAAUAGGCAGGAAAUCUUUAAAGGUUAAGAGGCAAAUUUGUCUAAAUUCUUUUCUUUGUACCUAUUUUUGAGAAAGCGUCCAUUGAAAUUCAGCUGAUAUCAGGCUUGCUCUUAUGAUCACACUCUUGCCAUUAGUUUUGUAUUAACAGCAGUCACUGAGUUUUUUUGGUCAAAUGAAAGAUCCUUCAGCUAAAUGAGUAGUUUCCUCACUGGUUUCUAGCACUGCUAUAAAACUGAAAACAAAAAAAGCAGGAGGAAUUUUCUAACAUUUAUCCGAAGCCAAAAAUGGUAAAAAUGCUAUAGUUACCAUUACCUAUUGAUUCCAUAUUUGUAUUAUUACAGGGGUAUUUUGCUUAUUCUAUAAAGUGUCAAAAAAGAUUAAAUAUGAAUAUUUUGUUCCAGGCAUGAAGUGCCUUUAGAAGGCUGAGGAAACCCUGCAGAAUGCUCAGUGUAAUAAAAAUCUGUUCUUUAUCUCUUGUUUUAAAUACAGUUAAUCCAGUUUAUUCAGCAAACACAUCUAAGAGCAACUUAAGGGGAAAAAAAAGGAAAUUGCCUUUUUAUUUUUCUAGGUUGCACGUUGGUGAGAAACCGUGGCUCUGUUCCUCUGCUUUUAUUUAUAGUCAGUAACCACAAAAUGUAUCUCUAAGAAUAACAUGGGAUUUUAAUAGGCAAUAUUAAUUGUUCUUACCGUAACUUUUGAUCUUAGAUGUUUAAAACAAAAGCCUGCUGCCUGUUUACAUACUGAAUGUUUUAUGAAGAAUAUCUUUUUGAAAUUAUGCAAAACAUUAAGCUUUGUCAUCCACACUGACAUGGUACAGAAAUGUCAUUUUAAUCCAUCGAGAUUUUUUUUUGACGUUUUCCUUAACAUUGCUCUGCCUUAUUUAGAGCAGCAACAGCAAUCUGUGCAGCUUCUCGUGACACUGACGGGGAUUUCAAAAUGUUGCACGGAGGGAAGGGAGGAAGAAAAAGGAAUUUGCUGCCACUCACUUCAGCAAUCCAGCUACAUAAGCUGCCGCUAUUUGCUAAAAGUUUACAUUUCAAAUGAGCUUUGAAUUUAAAGAUGCAUUAUCUCCACUCUGGGCCGAUGUUUGGAAAUGGAGGGAGAAAACAGAGCGCAAUCAUGACUGUGUGUUAAAGCGUGCCCGAGCGUUUGCAACAUGCCCAUUUAAAAUGCAUUUUGUUUCCAGACGAAACUAGGAGCAAGAAAUACACAGCCAUUCCUGUGAGGCUUAAUUUAGGCUUUAUAGGUAAAACCAGCAAACGGUUGUUGCCACUUUUGCUGCUUUAACGUCAGAGAAGCCAGCACCUCUGAAGCUUUCAAGGGAACAGUCCCCCUGUUAUUGCUUCUCAGUUCCAAGGUCUUAGAAUAAAUAACAUUGUUAUUACUCACUUCACCAAUUUCCAAGAAGAAAUAUUGCUGCAGCAAAUGCGAACAGCACUAAUAUUUGCAAAGUGAUAAAUGGGUCGCCACAUACCUUCCAGUCUGUGUGGCCUCCCGCCAUCCCCAGACCAUCCACGGCUCUCCGCCAGCGCGGCCCGGGCAUCGCCGCCACGGAAGCCACGCGGCCUUCCCUCCUCCCGGAAAAGGAAAGGUGAAAACGCCUCUGCUCAGCCGGAAAAGGCUUGCGAGGGAGCACAGUGAUGCCCGGACUUCUGCAGCUUCCCCCCCCUCAAGCAUCCCCAGCGCCUAAAGAGAACCCCCAAUUCUUGGGGUGCUGGAGGAGCAGAGAUGUUCGGCGGUGUGGAAGAGGGAAAGGCGCAUUCCCCGCAGCCCUUUGCCUCUCUUUGGAGGCAUCGUAUUCACAGCAAACCUGCUUGCCCGCGGCCAGAGCGAGGGAGUCGCGGCCCUUGCACCCCAAAGCGGUACUGGCAGGGGAGCUCCCGACCGGAUUGCCUCCCUUAAAAAGAUGCUGCAAGCUAAGAAUUCGCCAGUAAUGAUUUAAAAAAAGGGGAAGUAAUUUUUUUUUUUUAAGUAGCAAUAUAUAUGUAUGAUGCAGACUCCUCAUUUUUAUUUGAAACAAAAUCGCCAAAUCAAAUUAUUCCUACGACAUGAGUCAUCCAGAAAAACGCUCCGAAUGUGCAGUAAUUAAAACCAAAGCCAAACCUUCAGACCCACAACACAAAGCGAUCCAAAUAGCCACUGACAGUGGGUCAUUAAAAAAAAAAAAAAGCCCCCUUUUUUCUCUCUCCCGCAAAGGGCCCAGGUUUUGCUGCGAAGCCGUUCCUGGCUCCUUGUAACCUGCUGACGUGGUUUUGACGGUGCCCUUGGUGUUUCCAGGCUGCAGCCCAUGGGCUUGGGGCAGGCAGGAGCCGCUGGGGGUUUUGGGGUGGUUUGGUAUGAAUUCCCGGGUGGGAGUGAAGGCCUUCACCUGAGGUUAGCCACGCCACGGGGACGACGGAAAAGCUCAAACUCGGCUGCUCGGCAGCCCUGGUCGCCCCUGCUCUGGUGCUCCCGGGUCCCUUCUGCAGGGCCAGCGACACCCAGCAGGCUGUAAGUAUCUGAAGUAUAAAGCACAUAAUUUAGCUGGUCAUAACCAAGGUGUUAGUUAAUAUCCUUACAGCUAUAAAGCGACGCCUGUAACUGUGGAAAAGGGGUUUUUAUAUCUCAAACAUCCGCCAGCAAGCCUGCCUUCCCGGGAUUUCCCUCCCUUCCAGCCCAGGGAACCAGCGUCCUGCACUUGUAAAAGCCUGUGCACAGUAUGCACAGGUCGAUAUCAUCCAUAAAAAGGGAUAGUUUGUAUUGGUUCGUAAUCAAAGCAUUAACACACAAACUAUCCAUAAUACUCUCUCAUAAAAGUAUAUGUCGGUCUGUAGGUUCAUACAACUAUAAAUAUGUAUGCAACUAUAUAUAUAUAUAGGCAACUACAUAUAUAUAAUAUAUAUAUAUAUGUGCACACAUAUUAUACACGUGCACACCUAAAAAUACAGCUUGUCAUAAAUGAAAAAAUGCAAAUUUAUCUAAGGAAAAAUGAUAAAGGGAGCUGGCAUGGUGAGAGCUUUGGCAUUUUCAUCUUGGUGAGCUGCCUUACAGUUUGGGAACGUUCAUAAACCUCGCUCAAAAUUUAUCAGCUAUUUCUAACUCUAGGAACGGAGCUGGGAAUGCCUCGAGAACAUGUUUUCUUGAGUGAUUUCUGCCCUUCCUGGUUUCCCAGUUAGGCAGGAAGCCCUGGGAGAUUAGCAUUUCUUGGGCAUUCGGCUUCCAGCCCCUGCCAAAGCCAGGAAGUGUGCAGGUACGAAGAAAAAUCAGAAUAACCAAAUAGGUACAAAACAUCUACACAUGCGUGCACACAUUUAUGUAAACAGCAGCUUUGGAAAAAAAAAAAAAUUGGGUCUUCAUUUUUUUUUAUUAUUUCUUUUCCUCAAACCUCAAAAAAAAGAAAAAAAAAGCCAAGGCAGUUCUUAUUUUAUCCAGACCAGUUCAUAAAUCCCAAGUCAUAAAUCCCCGUGAUAUCCCGGGCUGCUGGAUUUUGCAUUUGGAGCUGGGAAAGACGGAAAGCUGAAAGAUUUACAAAAUCCCAGGUAGCCGGUGCUCCCUGUUGGCUGCGCAUCUGAGGGGCCUCUCGCCCUGCAGCGCGGGUGGGACGCACCGUGCUCGCGAAGCGGCCCCGCUCUGCCGGCUUCGGGCACCGAGAGCGCGUGCAGAGGGCUAAAAGGGGGGUUUGGGGGCCUUUUCCCCGGGGUCCUGGGCGUAGCCCUAUGCCAAGGAGCCCGGGGGCUUCCCGAGGUGCUGCCCUGGGGCCUCCCUCGGAAUUAUGCCAUGGCUCCGGCUCUGCGGUUCAGAAACGCUAUUUACGUUGUACGGCAGAUCAGACCAUAAAUAGUAAAAUUGCUUCGGCCGUAUCAGACGUGCAUUCAAUUUUGUUCCUUUACCAGGGGUGAUCGUUGGAUAAUAAUCACUGCUAUAAGGGGGGGGGGGGGGGGCAGAGGGGCCGUCCCGCUGCAGCGCAGGGGUGUCCCGGGACAAAAGCGCUCCCCGAGUCUGGCCCGCUGCAGAGCAACGGCACUGUUCACCACCGCUGCAGCACACUGGAAACCCACCUGCAGCCUUCCCUCUGCUGUUUUCCUCCUCUCCUCCUCUGUGACCUUAUUCGAGGCUAACGUUUUUCUCCAGGCUUGCAAAGACAGGCAUUUUUAAUGUGCUUCUGUUGCAUUAAUAAAAAGAUAUUAAAAAAAAAGCCCUCUUCUGCAGUUACAGGAGUUCCUUUAUAGUUGUAAGGAUAUAAACCAACAUCUUUGUUACCGAGCAGCUAAAUUAUUUGCUUUAUAUUUCAGAUAUUUGUAUUCAGGGGCCUGAAUGCAGUGACAUGGGUGGGGAAAGUCCUCCUUCGGCCUCCUUAGGAAGGAUGGUGGAAUCAACGUGGGGUCAGAUCGGUUUGUGUUGACGUUUUAUUAGAAGCGCACUGUCACGCUAAACCUGGGUCUUUUUUUUUUUUUUUUUUUGCUUGUUUCUAUUAGUGGCAAUUAAAGUAUUAGGUUUAGUGCAAGCAACUGGACUUGCAAGCUGCAGCAGGCCUUUUCUCCACGAAGAUCACCAUGUUCAUUAGAAACGACUACUCAUUUAAGAGGUCAAACUAAACUGGACACAAGCAGACCAAAACAUUUAUAUGAGGACCAUAUUAGAAUUACGGCAGGGCCGUUUUCCCCCUGAACCAGUGGGGUCAAGAUUCUUUUCUAUUUUCCUGCGAACUGAGGUUCCUCUGGUUACAAGAUCCCAGGAGCAGAAGCUGGGAAAACACCCGUGGACAUAAGCGCACCGUGACACCUGUAGCAGUGAAGGGAGCACGAAACUGGGCAUUCUGCAUCGCUGCAAGCCGUAACGUUUUACAGCUCCAUGGAAGACAGGAUUUUGCAGCCACAAAAGACGCAAAGCUGAUGUUCACCACAUCACAGCUCCAAUCUUUUUCUUUUUUUAACCAGCAAUAGUGAAAUGAUGUGAUUUUUUUUUAACAUGCAAACAGGAAUAAAAAGCCUGAACACACCCUG
Molecule: long non-coding RNA, 6458 nt
Organism: Dromaius novaehollandiae (emu)
Lineage: Eukaryota; Metazoa; Chordata; Aves; Casuariiformes; Dromaiidae
Exons: 9
Source: RefSeq, a predicted model, not a curated record